GGUUUUUUUACCCUUGCGGUUUACCUUUUUCGAAAAAAGGGUUUUAAAAAAAAAAACCG
Molecule: transfer RNA, 59 nt
Filed under: Boodlea composita
Lineage: Eukaryota; Viridiplantae; Chlorophyta; Ulvophyceae; Cladophorales; Boodleaceae
Description: tRNA-Ser
Source: RNAcentral